RNAcentral lists this small RNA (388 nucleotides) under Pongo abelii (Sumatran orangutan). Its description in RNAcentral is "retained intron". The record is from RNAcentral. Lineage: Eukaryota; Metazoa; Chordata; Mammalia; Primates; Hominidae.
GAGGUGCUUCCUCAUCUCCAGGGGUGGAGAGCAUCACUGUGUAUGAAGAGAUCCUGAGGCAGGCUCGUUAUCGGCUGCGACACGGAGCUGCCCUCUAUGCCAGGAAGUUCCGGCUUUCCUGCUCGGAAAUGAAUGGCCGUUACUCCAGCAAUGAAUUCAUCGUGGAGGUCAAUGUCCUGCACAGCAUGAACCGGGUUGCCCACCCCAGCCACGUGCUCAGCUCCCAGCAGUUCCUGCACCGUGGUCACCAGCCCCCGCCUGAGAUGGCUGGACACAGCCUGGCCAGCUCCCACAGAAACUCCAGUACGUAAGCUUGGUGGGGCUGGGCAGGGAGGGGCAGGUGGCAGGUGAGUUGGUUGGGACAGGUAUCCUCCCCCUCCCCCUCUGG